Long non-coding RNA from Neofelis nebulosa (Clouded leopard), 3179 nucleotides. RefSeq lists it as uncharacterized. The record is from RefSeq and is a predicted model, not a curated record. The transcript has 2 exons. Lineage: Eukaryota; Metazoa; Chordata; Mammalia; Carnivora; Felidae.
UCCAUACAUUAAGUAGUAGGAAAGCUAAAUUUUAUAUUCCCUAUAAGUUCUAGCAUUUUUAGGCCUCUGAUUAGGACAUGUAAGUGUUUUGUGUUUAUUCCACUUUGGAGACCAUUAGUCUGGAAGAGUAUGUUAUAAAGAAGCUUCAUAGUAUUAAUUUUCCUCCUUUGAGUGUUAAGUGUAGUAUGUCCUAUAGAAGAAUGGGAUAGAAUGAUAGGUGAGUGGGAUCUUUGAAUACUGAAGAGGCCAUUGGAGAAAUCUUAGCACUGACCAAAUAGAGUUUGAAAUCUGGGUCUGCUUGUCUGUGAAGGUUAUACAUGAAUAUUCACAUUGACUAACAUUUCUCUAGUAUCCACAGUGUGCCGGGUACUCUUCUAAGCAUUUUCACCUAUAUUACUUAUCCCACAACUAUUUACUGAUGAAGAAUCCAGUUUGUUGAUUUAUAUAAGUGAAAAAGCCAGAACUUUUUCAGGUUUCUAACUCAAAGCUCUUUGUUUUUCCCUUUAUGUUACAGCUCUUGUGAAGAGCUUUAAAACCUAGUUACAGAGGUAGGAAAAACAUACAUGCCACAGAAUGUGAAGGAGAUUCUUAGUUCCUGAGAAUAGUGCCUAUGUUACUUGAGUUAUGGCUCAGUCUUGUACACCUGGCAAAGCACAUAUAGCAGGUGUUUAACAAAUAUUUGUUAAGCAUUCAGGGGCUCUUAGUAUCAAGCAGCAUGGGAUUUUAAGACCUUAGAAACUUGGAUUUGAGUCUCAGCUCUUCUGCUUCCUAAUUGUAUGACUGGCCAGUGACUUAAUCUCUCCGCACCCAAGUUUCCUUAGUUAAAAGAGGUGGGGAUUUUCAUCUCUGGGCUGUUCUGAGAAUUAAGUGGUAAUGUAUAUAGGGUGCCUAACUCACAGGGUCUGAUAAUUGGCCCCUCAGUUGCUACAAUGACUUUUUACCCCAAUAAGAGAAUUCUGUACCUCAGCCUGUUCUAUGCUUUGUAACUGUUAGUUCUCUCAGCUCCAGGGAUGUGUGUAAUUCACAACAGUGCUCCCCUCCAGUGUCUACCUCUAACAGUUCCUUUGUGGAGCUGGUAGAAAUUAAAAAUCUUAUUUUAACAACAUUGCAUAUUGUUUUGUUUCAAAUGAAAAAUAGUGAGAUAAAAUGUGGCAUUUGUGGUCAGAGUAUGGUCAGCUCUCAUGUCUAGGAUAUUCAGUUACGUCAUUUAAUUUGAUAGCAUUUCGUUAGGUUUUUAAAUACACACCAACACGAAGAAGGUGGACAUAUCUAUAAUCCCACUAUUUUUACAUAAUUCUUUCUGGCAUAAAAAAAAUUCCAUGUACAUGUCUAGGAAACUUAUUUAUUUAAAAAAAUGUAAAGGCAAUUUAAAUAUUAUACACUAGAAGCCGCUUCUGUUAGUUCAGGCUCUCAUAACAAAAUAUCACAGCCUGGGGGGCCUACACAACAGAACCUUUCUACUUCCUCACCAUUCUGGAGGCUGUGCAAGUCCAAGGUGAAGGUACCAGCAGGUCUCGUUUCUUCUGAGACCUCUCUCCGUGGCUUGCAGACGGCUGCCAUCUCACUGGGUCCUCACAUGCUCCUCCCUCUGUGUGUGCCUGUGUCCCAGUCUUCAAAGGCACCAGCCGUUUGGGAUUAGGGUCCAACCUAGCCAUCCCAUUUUAACUUAACUACCUCUUUAAAGGCCCUCUUUCCAAAUACAGUCACGUUCUGAGGUACUGGGAGUUAAGACUCCAAUGUAAGAAUUUGGAGGUGGAGGGCAAUUCAGCCUCUAACACCGCUCUACCCUGAAACCACUAAUACCUGUUUUAUUUAUACAUUUCCAGAAAAAUUUCCUGUCUUUAUAUCUGUGGGCAUGUGAAUUUAUAUGAUUAUGGGUUAUUAAAUUAGUUUCUUUGAAGUCCAUGUGAACAGUACACGGCAGCAAAGAAUUACCGUAGGGUUGUAUUGGGUUGGAGAAAUGAGCUUGUUGUGGAAGCAGACAUGAUCUGUUACGAGUGCGUGGGUCGCAUGUGUGUGUAUGUGUGUACAUACCAAUGUAUUAAAGCCUCUUCAGUAUAAAUUUUGUAUUUGUCUUGGGUCCCUGAUGCACUAAAACCUUUUCUGUGUUGUGUGACAGUCCCUGAAUUUAUUUACUUGGUACUCAUUAUGAUUGACUGUUUUGUGAGGUUGUAUGUAUGUUGGCAUUGGAAGCACAGGUGGUUCCUGACUUCGAUGGUUUGACUUAAGAUGGUUCCAUUUACAAUAGUUCCACGUAGGAUUGCUUGACUUUCUGGUGGCACGAAAGCAAUAUGCGUGCAGUAGAAGCCAUACUUUGAAUUUUGAACUUGGGUCUUUCCCUAGGCUGGUAGCUGUGGUGUGACGCUCUCGGUAAAGUCUGGUGAGGCUUUCAGCAGCAGCACCCAGGCCACGGCAGCCAGCCCGCCCCGUGACCAGGAGGGUCAGGAACCGUCAGUAACUGUGCCUGUACCAUCUUUCCUUCCGGUUUUCACUUUCAGUGCAGCGUUUAAUAAAUGAUACGAGCUGUUUGGCAUUUUAUUGUACAAUGGGCUUCGUGUUAGAUGAUGUUGCCCAGUUGUAAGCUAACAUAAGUGCUUUGAGUGUGUUUAAGGUAGGCCAGGCUAAGCUACGAUGUUUGACAGGUUAGUUGUAUUAAACACAUUUUUUUGACUUACAGUAUUUUCAACUCAUGGUGUGUAACCUGCUAGUUAGAGAAGACUUGAAUGGAGAAUAAGAGAAGAUCCUUGCCAAAAAUUCUAAAGUUGGGUGAAGGGGCAGGAGUAGAGAUCCAUUUGGAGAUGUGUCUGAGUACUGAGCUGGAGAAGGAGCCCACUGCCCUCUGAGGCUUACAUCAAGCUUUCCUGGGAGAAAGGAAGGUAACACUUCAACUGAAGGUUGCAGGGACUGUCCUAACCUGUUUUAGGCAGAGGGGAAAAAAGCACAUGUAAAGGCACAGAAUUUUGAGGGAGGAGAUAAAAGGUUAAAUAUGAUGGGGCUGUCUGAGUGGCUCAGUCGGUUAAGCAUCCGACUUUGGCUCAGGUCAUGAUCUCCGGUCCGUGAGUUCGAACCCCAUGUUGGGCUCUCUGCUGACAGCUCGGAGCCUGGAGCCUGCUUCGGAUUCUGUGUCUGCCUCUCUCUCUGCCGCUCCCCUGCUUGUGCUCUCUUGUUCUCUCUCUCUC